This 182-nucleotide non-coding RNA is filed under the name Aliicoccus persicus. Its description in RNAcentral is "6S / SsrS RNA". It matches the Rfam family "6S / SsrS RNA". From Rfam's summary of the family: E. coli 6S RNA was the first non coding RNA to be sequenced, but its function was unknown until recently. It consists of 184 nucleotides that fold into an extended hairpin structure with a large single-stranded internal bulge. The record is from RNAcentral. Lineage: Bacteria; Bacillati; Bacillota; Bacilli; Caryophanales; Staphylococcaceae.
UGUCUGAGCGGUUCGUGAUGCGCUGAUUAUAUUUUGACCUAACACCUUUUAAAUCGGGAAUUCAGUAGUUUUCUUGUUAUGAACACGCCUAUUUCGGUAGGACGUUCGGAUCAAGAAACAGAAUACCCACCUGCAAAUAGCAGGCCAAAUUAAUCGGCAACUGCACACGGCUAUUCUCGGAU